This 712-nucleotide ribosomal RNA is filed under the name uncultured bacterium. RNAcentral's name for it is "bacterial SSU rRNA". It matches the Rfam family "Bacterial small subunit ribosomal RNA", at positions 105 to 801 of the family's 1533-position model. The record is from RNAcentral.
GGUGAGUAACACGUGGGCAACCUACCUAUAAGACUGGGAUAACUCGCGGAAACGUGAGCUAAUACCGGAUAAUACUUUUUAUUGCAUAGUAAGAAGUUUGAAAGGCGGCGUAAGCUGUCACUUAUAGAUGGGCCCGCGGCGCAUUAGCUAGUUGGUGAGGUAAAGGCUCACCAAGGCAACGAUGCGUAGCCGACCUGAGAGGGUGAUCGGCCACACUGGGACUGAGACACGGCCCAGACUCCUACGGGAGGCAGCAGUAGGGAAUCUUCCGCAAUGGACGAAAGUCUGACGGAGCAACGCCGCGUGAACGAAGAAGGUUUUCGGAUCGUAAAGUUCUGUUGUUAGGGAAGAACAAGUACCGUUCGAAUAGGGCGGUACCUUGACGGUACCUAUCGAGGAAGCCCCGGCUAACUACGUGCCAGCAGCCGCGGUAAUACGUANGGGGCAAGCGUUGUCCGGAAUUAUUGGGCGUAAAGCGCGCGUAGGCGGUUUCUUAAGUCUGAUGUGAAAUCUUGCGGCUCANCCGCAAGCGGUCAUUGGAAACUGGGGAACUUGAGUGCAGAAGAGGAGAGUGGAAUUCCACGUGUAGCGGUGAAAUGCGUAGAGAUGUGGAGGAACACCNGUGGCGAANGCGACUCUCUGGUCUGUAACUGACGCUGAGGUGCGAAAGCGUGGGGAGCGAACAGGAUUAGAUACCCUGNNANUCCACGCC